AUUGAACGCUGGCGGCAGGCCUAACACAUGCAAGUCGAACGAGUGGCGGACGGGUGAGUAAUGUCUGGGAAACUGCCCGAUGGCGGGGGAUAACUACUGGAAGCGGUAGCUAAUACCGCAUACCAUCGGCUUUGACCAGAUGGGAGUAGCUAGUAGGUGGGGUAACGGCUCACCUAGGCGAAGAUCCCUCGCUGGUCUGAGAGGAUGACCAGCCACAAUGGAAAUGAGACACGGUCCAGACGCCGACGGGAGGCAGCAGUGGGGAAUAGUGCACAAUGGGCGCAAGCCUGAUGCAGACAUGCCGCGUGUAUGAAGAAGGCCUGCGGGUUGUAAAGUACUUUCAGCGAGGAGGCGUUACUCGCAGAAGAAGCACCGGCUAACUCCGUGCCAGCAGCCGCGGUAAUAC
This 406-nucleotide ribosomal RNA is filed under the name uncultured bacterium. Its description in RNAcentral is "partial 16S ribosomal RNA". It matches the Rfam family "Bacterial small subunit ribosomal RNA", at positions 29 to 526 of the family's 1533-position model. The record is from RNAcentral.